UGCGUAGGCGGGGCAAUUAGUCAGUGGUGAAAUCCUGCGGCUUAACCGUAGAAUUGCCAUUGAUACUGUUGUCCUUGAGUAUAGUUGAGGUGGGCGGAAUGUGUAAUGUAGCGGUGAAAUGCAUAGAGAUUACACAGAACACCAAUUGCGAAGGCAGCUCACUAAGCUAUAACUGACGCUGAGGCACGAAAGCGUGGGGAGCGAACAGGAUUAGAUACCCUGGUAGUC
RNAcentral lists this ribosomal RNA (228 nucleotides) under uncultured bacterium. Its description in RNAcentral is "partial 16S ribosomal RNA". It matches the Rfam family "Bacterial small subunit ribosomal RNA", at positions 568 to 795 of the family's 1533-position model. The record is from RNAcentral.